GCCUACGGCCAUACCACGUUGAACACACCGGUUCUCGUCCGAUCACCGAAGUUAACCAAUGUCGGGCCCGGUUAGUACUUGGAUGGGUGACCGCCUGGGAACACCGGGUGCUGUAGGCA
Molecule: ribosomal RNA, 119 nt
Filed under: Pomacea canaliculata
Lineage: Eukaryota; Metazoa; Mollusca; Gastropoda; Architaenioglossa; Ampullariidae
Source: RNAcentral